ACUGGGGAACUGAACAUCUAAGUACCCAGAGGAAAAGAAAUCAACCGAGAUUCCCCUAGUAGCGGCGAGCGAACGGGGACCAGCCUAUCUAAUUCUAAAUAGUGGAAUGAUCUGGAAAGUUCAGCGAUACAGGGUGAUAGCCCCGUACACGAAAUGAUGAAUAUGAGAUAUCAAGUAGGGCGGAGCACGAGAAACUUUGUCUGAAGAUGGGGGGACCACCCUCCAAGGCUAAAUACUCUCUAUCGACCGAUAGUGAACCAGUACCGUGAGGGAAAGGCGAAAAGAACCCCGUUGAGGGGAGUGAAAUAGAACCUGAAACCGCGUACGUACAAGCAGUCGGAGCCCUUCGGGGUGACGGCGUACCUUUUGUAUAAUGGGUCAGCGACUUACUUCUCAGUAGCAAGCUUAACCGUAUAGGGGAGGCGUAGGGAAACCGAGUCUUAAUAGGGCGUUUAGUUGCUGGGAGUAGACCCGAAACCGAGUGAUCUAGCCAUGGGCAGGUUGAAGGUGCGGUAACACGCACUGGAGGACCGAACCCACUAAUGUUGAAAAAUUAGGGGAUGACCUGUGGUUAGGGGUGAAAGGCCAAUCAAACUCGGAGAUAGCUGGUUCUCCUCGAAAGCUAUUUAGGUAGCGCCUCGUGUAUCACCUAUGGGGGUAGAGCACUGUUUCGGCUAGGGGGUCAUCCCGACUUACCAAACCGAUGCA
Molecule: ribosomal RNA, 708 nt
Filed under: uncultured bacterium
Lineage: Bacteria
Description: bacterial LSU rRNA
Rfam family: Bacterial large subunit ribosomal RNA
Source: RNAcentral